AACGAACGCUGGCGGCAUGCCUAACACAUGCAAGUCGAACGAGACCUUCGGGUCUAGUGGCGCACGGGUGCGUAACGCGUGGGAACCUGCCCUUAGGUUCGGAAUAACUCCCCGAAAGGGGUGCUAAUACCGGAUAAUGUCUUCGGACCAAAGAUUUAUCGCCUUUGGAUGGGCCCGCGUUGGAUUAGCUAGUUGGGAGGGUAAAAGCCUACCAAGGCGACGAUCCAUAGCUGGUCUGAGAGGAUGAUCAGCCACACUGGGACUGAGACCCGGCCCAGACUCCUACGGGAGGGAGCAGUGGGGAAUAUUGGACACUGGGCGAAAGCCUGAUCCAGCAAUGCCGCGUGAGUGAUGCAGGCCUUAGGGUUGUAAAGCUCUUUUACCCGAGAUGAUAAUGACAGUACCGGGAGAAUAAGCUCCGGCUAACUCCGUG
RNAcentral lists this ribosomal RNA (433 nucleotides) under uncultured bacterium. RNAcentral's name for it is "partial 16S ribosomal RNA". It matches the Rfam family "Bacterial small subunit ribosomal RNA", at positions 29 to 507 of the family's 1533-position model. The record is from RNAcentral.